Long non-coding RNA from Vigna unguiculata (cowpea), 1044 nucleotides. The record is from RefSeq and is a predicted model, not a curated record. Lineage: Eukaryota; Viridiplantae; Streptophyta; Magnoliopsida; Fabales; Fabaceae.
GAAAACAAAUAUAGGGUGCGAGGCUGGCAAACAUCAGGGGUGCGUAAAGAAAUACACAAAUAGUCCAUCACAAAUAAUGGAGGUGCAAAGAUAAAAAAUGGGGGUGCACAAGUAAAUAACAUGGUCAGACCCAAUUUCUACUCAAACUAAACCUAAUUAAAAUUAAAGCUCUCCUUUACCCAUGGCAGCCGUCUCUUCUCGUUUCUCUCUUCUCGUUUUCCAGCAGCCACCAUGACUCCAACGGUUGAGACAUGCGCUCACCUUUUAGCCACCACCAACGACACUAGCCUCCACCGGAGGCCUCACUGGCGACGCUGUCGCCACUCGCCGCUCCUCGCGCAACGCUCCUACGCCGUGAACAUCGUCUCCUCGUUUCUCCAGCACAUUCGAGAUAGCAACUCGCCACCACCGCACCAGCCAUCGCAACUGGGUCACGCGAACACCACAGAAACCGCCACCUGGCCGUCGCGACCCAAACCACCACCAUGAAUGUCACUGCUGCUGCAACUAGAGUGCGUCGACACAGCAUCUACCAUCACCACCAUUAAUGUCGCCGCUACCGCGACCUAUGCGCGUCACUAGUAGUGCCAACUUUCCCCUUCCCAACGUGAGGGUUUCUUCCCGGCCUAGGCUUCGCGCGCUCUAAUGCUAGCAUGUUACGAUUGUUUAUGCAUUAUACCACCUUAUCGUAGCCAUUUGUGUCUAGACACGCCGACAACAAUGUCGUCAAUGAUUAUCUCUUCUCCCUCUCUCUGUUUCAGAUUUGUAUUUGGGUGGAAAUGAUUGGGGAAGAUGAAACGUGAAUGUUUGGGGUUGUUUGGGUAUCUAAUCUUUGAUUUUAUGCAGGUGAGAUGAAGGUGAAAACUUGAAGAUGAAAUUCACUCUAUCAACCACGGCUUUGCUCCCUUCUCGUUGUAAAAUCCCCCUCAAUGUGUUCUUUCUGAAUGUGUAAUCCUCUGAUCUCGUGGGUGGAGAAUUAAAGAAGUUUCUUUUCGUUUAUUUUGUUGGUGUGGUUUUCCUGAAUCUUAGUUUUUUCCUUUAUUA